GCUGGCGGCAGGCCUUAACACAUGCAAGUCGAGCGGAAACGAGUUAUCUGAACCUUCGGGGAACGAUAACGGCGUCGAGCGGCGGACGGGUGAGUAAUGCCUGGGAAAUUGCCCUGAUGUGGGGGAUAACUAUUGGAAACGAUAGCUAAUACCGCAUAACGUCUACGGACCAAAGAGGGGGACCUUCGGGCCUCUCGCUUCAGGAUAUGCCCAGGUGGGAUUAGCUAGUUGGUGAGGUAAUGGCUCACCAAGGCGACGAUCCCUAGCUGGUCUGAGAGGAUGAUCAGCCACACUGGAACUGAGACACGGUCCAGACUCCUACGGGAGGCAGCAGUGGGGAAUAUUGCACAAUGGGCGCAAGCCUGAUGCAGCCAUGCCGCGUGUAUGAAGAAGCCUUCGGGUUGUAAAGUACUUUCAGUCGUGAGGAAGGC
RNAcentral lists this ribosomal RNA (431 nucleotides) under Vibrio sp. con12. RNAcentral's name for it is "bacterial SSU rRNA". It matches the Rfam family "Bacterial small subunit ribosomal RNA", at positions 35 to 452 of the family's 1533-position model. The record is from RNAcentral. Lineage: Bacteria; Pseudomonadati; Pseudomonadota; Gammaproteobacteria; Vibrionales; Vibrionaceae.